RNAcentral lists this ribosomal RNA (891 nucleotides) under uncultured bacterium. RNAcentral describes it as "bacterial SSU rRNA". It matches the Rfam family "Bacterial small subunit ribosomal RNA", at positions 505 to 1397 of the family's 1533-position model. The record is from RNAcentral.
GUGCCAGCAGCCGCGGUAAUACAUAGGGAGCGAGCGUUGUCCGGAAUUACUGGGUGUAAAGGGUGCGUAGGCGGGAUUGCAAGUCAGAUGUGAAAUACACGGGCUCAACCUGUGGGCUGCAUUUGAAACUGUAGUUCUUGAGUGAAGUAGAGGCAAGUGGAAUUCCUGGUGUAGCGGUGAAAUGCGUAGAUAUCAGGAGGAACACCGGUGGCGAAGGCGACUUGCUGGGCUUUAACUGACGCUGAGGCACGAAAGCGUGGGUAGCAAACAGGAUUAGAUACCCUGGUAGUCCACGCCGUAAACGAUGAUUACUACGUGUGGGGGGAUAACAUCUUUCCGUGCCGCAGUUAACACAAUAAGUAAUCCACCUGGGGAGUACGACCGCAAGGUUGAAACUCAAAGGAAUUGACGGGGGCCCGCACAAGCAGUGGAGUAUGUGGUUUAAUUCGAAGCACGCGAAAAACCUUACCAGGUCUUGACAUCGAGUGCAUAACUAAGAGAUUAGUGAAAUUCUUUUUUAAAGAACACUUAGAUCAGGUGGUGCAUGGUUGUCGUCAGCUCGUGUCGUGAGAUGUUGGGUUAAGUCCCGCAACGAGCGCAACCCUUACCUUUAGUUGCUACGUCAAGAGCACUCUAAAGGGACUGCCGUUGACAAAACGGAGGAAGGUGGGGAUGACGUCAAAUCAUCAUGCCCCUUAUGACCUGGGCUACACACGUACUACAAUGGCAAUUAACAAAGAGAAGCGAGACUCUGAAGUGGAGCAAAUCUCAAAAAAUUGUCUCAGUUCGGAUUGCAGGCUGCAACUCGCCUGCAUGAAGUCGGAAUUGCUAGUAAUCGUAGAUCAGCAUGCUACGGUGAAUACGUUCUCGGGCCUUGCACACACCGCCCGU